This 253-nucleotide ribosomal RNA is filed under the name uncultured bacterium. RNAcentral describes it as "partial 16S ribosomal RNA". It matches the Rfam family "Bacterial small subunit ribosomal RNA", at positions 524 to 776 of the family's 1533-position model. The record is from RNAcentral.
UACGUAGGGGGCUAGCGUUGUCCGGAAUCAUUGGGCGUAAAGAGCGCGUAGGCGGCCCGGUAAGUCUGCUGUAAAAGUCAAAGGCUUAACCUUUGAAAGUCAGUGGAUACUGCCGGGCUAGAGUCCGGAAGAGGCGAGUGGAACUCCUGGUGUAGCGGUGGAAUGCGCAGAUAUCAGGAGGAACACCAAUUGCGAAGGCAGCUCGCUGGGACGUUACUGACGCUGAGACGCGAAAGCGUGGGGAGCAAACAGG